AGUUAUAUUAAUGAAUAAUUGUUUUAGUUUUUAGAUAUACUUACAUAUAUAUUUUUUUCUUUUAUUAACAUUUUUAGAAUUGUAUUAGGAUUGUCUCGUCUGUACCAUCUGUUUACGAGUACAGACUAACGGUUUGGCUCAUAACCUAGGGACACUCCUAUUUGCCAUUGUAAAUACUAUCAAAAUGAACAUUAUUGUUUAAUUUAAUAUUUGGCAAAUGAAAAGUAUUUGAAUUUGAAUUACAGAUUCAUCACUGGCAAGGUGAAGCGCUGGCAUGUCGCACUUAGAAUUACAUCAGCCAAGAAAACAACGUGAUGAAGCAAUUUGCAAGAAUUUCUAAACUGGCUUGAGGAAUACACAUAAUACAAUCUGUUCCAAUGUAGAGAUUUUAUGUCAAUUUUCUCAGCAAUAAUCCCUGAAGCUGAAUUGUCAUUUGGCAGAAGGAAUUGGAGAAAAAAUCUAGACAUAAAAUGCUAAAAAAGUGAGAAAAUUUUUUGCAGAUGAAAAAGUAAUUUGCAGAACAAAAGAUAGGGUAUCUUUGCUGAGAUAAAAGUUUAGCCAGAGGGUACCAUUACUAUGUCUCAAGAUGAUUUUCUGAAGAACAGUAACAAUAAACGAGAAUUUAUUAAUCUUCUUAAGACUUGUCUGGUUGAAGCAGGCAUCCAAGCACAAGCAGAAAGGGAUGCAGACAAUCUAAUUGUUAAAACCGUUGUAGAUGGAAAAAGAUAAAUACAUAAAUACCUUAUAUUGGUUGUA
Long non-coding RNA from Anthonomus grandis grandis, 756 nucleotides. RefSeq lists it as uncharacterized. Lineage: Eukaryota; Metazoa; Arthropoda; Insecta; Coleoptera; Curculionidae. The record is from RefSeq and is a predicted model, not a curated record. The transcript is spliced from 2 exons.